This 84-nucleotide transfer RNA is filed under the name Nanobdellota archaeon. Its description in RNAcentral is "tRNA-Leu". It matches the Rfam family "tRNA". Rfam says of the family: Transfer RNA (tRNA) molecules are approximately 80 nucleotides in length. Their secondary structure includes four short double-helical elements and three loops (D, anti-codon, and T loops). Further hydrogen bonds mediate the characteristic L-shaped molecular structure. tRNAs have two regions of fundamental functional importance: the anti-codon, which is responsible for specific mRNA codon recognition, and the 3' end, to which the tRNAs corresponding amino acid is attached (by aminoacyl-tRNA synthetases). tRNAs cope with the degeneracy of the genetic code in two manners: having more than one tRNA (with a specific anti-codon) for a particular amino acid; and 'wobble' base-pairing, i.e. permitting non-standard base-pairing at the 3rd anti-codon position. The record is from RNAcentral. Lineage: Archaea; Nanobdellati; Nanobdellota.
GCGAGGGUGCUGGAGUGGUCAAACAGGAUGGACUCAAAAUCCAUUAGCUUAGUGCUUACGCAGGUUCGAAUCCUGUCCCUCGCA